AAAUCCGCUAAGGAGUGUGUAACAACUCACCUGCCGAAUGGAGAAGCCCCGAAAAUGAAUGGCGCUUAAGCGUAGUACCGAUACUUUGCUAUCAAGGCAACAAAUAGGGUCUUGAUAAGUAGGAGGACGUCAGUGUUUGGGUUGAAGGCAUUGGGUAGCCAGUGUUGGACCAACAUUGAGUGCAGAUCUUGGUGGUAGUAGCAAAUACAGAAGGGAGCAACUUCUGGGCCGAAGUGGAGCAAGGUUUUCAUAGAACGAUAUUCGAUAUGAAGUUAGUCGGUCCUAAGGAAGGUGGCGAAAGCCAUAUAAAGUUGAAGAAGUCCAGCAAUGGAGUACUUUGACACUCCGAAAGGGAAGCAUGUUAAAAUCCAUGCACCACUGCUCUUGUGAGAUGUGGCAACACUCUAGUAUGUCAACGACGCUUGCCAGAGGACGAGAAAGAGUUUUCUUUUCUUUUUAACCGAUAUAGAGGAGCCUGGAAUGGAUUUAGUCCGAGAUAGG
Molecule: ribosomal RNA, 501 nt
Filed under: uncultured eukaryote
Lineage: Eukaryota
Description: eukaryotic LSU rRNA
Rfam family: Eukaryotic large subunit ribosomal RNA
Source: RNAcentral